GAUUCCACAACAACUGAUAUUCAAGAUGUUGCCAGCACAAUUGACUUGGAGGUCACUGAGGCUCAAAAGAUGCUCCAGCUUGCCGCUGCUCAGAGGAUGAACACUGAUGCAAGAAGGGCAAUAUUCUGCGUAAUAAUGAGUGGGGAGGACUAUGUUGAUGCAUUUGAGAAACUUCUAAGAUUGGAUUUGUCAGGCAAGCAGGUUGGCACCCCUUGAAUAAUGAGUGGGGAGGACUAUAUUGAUGCAUUUGAGAAACUUCUAAGAUUGGAUUUGUCAGGCAAGCAGGUUGGCACCCCUUGGUUGAAUUCCCUGUAAUUUAUUGUUGUGCUUGUCUAUCAGAAAUGCCUCUUUACCUCACACUAGGUAGGGGUAAGGUCUGCGUACACUGUACCAUCCCCAAACUCCACUUGUGGAAUCACAUUGGCUUUGUUGUUGUUGUUUUUGUUGUUUUUGUUGUGCUUCAGUUGUGC
Molecule: long non-coding RNA, 470 nt
Filed under: Nicotiana benthamiana
Lineage: Eukaryota; Viridiplantae; Streptophyta; Magnoliopsida; Solanales; Solanaceae
Description: long non-coding RNA (NBEN_LNC023265)
Source: RNAcentral